Long non-coding RNA from Alligator sinensis (Chinese alligator), 550 nucleotides. RefSeq lists it as uncharacterized. The record is from RefSeq and is a predicted model, not a curated record. The transcript has 4 exons. Lineage: Eukaryota; Metazoa; Chordata; Crocodylia; Alligatoridae.
AUUCAGCUGUGGCCGUUUAGCUGUCAUGUGAGCUUUGACUCCUGGGGAAGGCGAGAGGAACAAAGCUCAGCUGGAAAUUAAAGACAGCAAAUUAGAAGAACAAUAACUGAACGCGAGAGGCAGCUAUGUAAAAACGCCCCUAAAAGCCAGGAUUUAUGCAGAAGAAAAAUAACUUUUUGCAUAGAGCAGACACCCAAGCAACUCUGCCAGCACCAGACACUGAAAUGCAAACAGCUUCAUCAAGAUACACUGAAAUCGUAGAAAUUCCUUGGCAGAAAGAUGCUGUAUAGAUAUUUCCUGAGCAAAACGCGGCUGGGGAGAAGCAAGUGUUAUCCCAAUUUUGAAGGGGCACAGAGAGGGCAAGUGGCUUGCUGUUUGCUCUGGCAGGAAGCAGUAGGUGAGCUGAAGCUCUGGCCACGCACCGUCUGUGCCAACCCGGGACUGGCGCACGAGAACUUUUGCUGCUGUCAGAAGCUGAGCCUUUGACCCCAGGGAGCUGGAUGGCAGCAGUCAUGCUGAGAACCUUUAAAUAGCUAAAGAAUAGCUGAAA